This 504-nucleotide ribosomal RNA is filed under the name uncultured Glomeromycotina. RNAcentral's name for it is "SSU rRNA". It matches the Rfam family "Eukaryotic small subunit ribosomal RNA", at positions 569 to 1077 of the family's 1831-position model. The record is from RNAcentral. Lineage: Eukaryota; Fungi; Glomeromycota.
AGCAGCCGCGGUAAUUCCAGCUCCAAUAGCGUAUAUUAAAGUUGUUGCAGUUAAAAAGCUCGUAGUUGAAUUUCAGGCCUGGCUGGACGGUCCGCCCUUCGGGUGAGUACUGUCUGUGGUCGGGUCCUGCCUUCUGGCGAAGCGUCAUGGCCUUAACCGGCCGUGGCGGGGAACCAGGACUUUUACUGUGAAAAAAUUAGAGUGUUCAAAGCAGGCAAUCGCUUGGAUACAUUAGCAUGGAAUAAUGGAAUAGGACAAUGGUUCUAUUUGUUGGUUUCUAGGACCGUUGUAAUGAUUAAUAGGGAUAGUUGGGGGCAUUAGUAUUCAAUUGUCAGAGGUGAAAUUCUUGGAUUUAUUGAAGACUAACUACUGCGAAAGCAUUUGCCAAGGAUGUUUUCAUUAAUCAAGAACGAAAGUUAGGGGAUCGAAGACGAUCAGAUACCGUCGUAGUCUUAACCAUAAACUAUGCCGACUAGGAAUCGGGCGAUGUUGAAAAAAUGACGC